CGGGGAUUCCCAGUCCUGGCUCCGCCCCGGCCUCGGCCCCGCCCCCGCCCCUGCCCCGGGGCAGCCUGUGCUGUUCCGUGUGCGCGGCGCAUACGCACCUGGGUUGUCUCGAGCCUGCGGUAGUGGCCAGAUCCCAGACAUCCGAGUAGAUCCCGUGAAAAGGUCUCCCACGUGGGCUGUGGACAGGGCCCAAGGGUAGCAGAGCUAGCAGAGGCAGUGACGGACUGUGUGGCAGCUUCUUCUUGGUUUCUUCGUACAUUCUGGAUCCACCCCUUUCAUGCAUAUUCCAGACCACAUUUCCACUGGAGCAGUUGAAAUGAGAGAGAUGGGAAUGGGACUCACCCGAACCAGAGGAAUUUUUAUUACAGACCCAUUAACAGAGGUGUCAAAGUCACAGGAACAAGGAUGUGCACCUCAGAAACACAGAGGUCAGUGGAAAAUCAGUUUGCUUCUAUUUGUUUAAAAAAUGGGGGACUUAUGCAUAAAUCUAAGACCUUCUUGAAUCUAACAUUCUAAGACCUGUAUGCCACAGAAAGGAGGGUCUCAGAACGCCGGAGGAUAGUAUUUAAAUCUUAAAUAUCUAUAUUGUUCUCCACAGUUACUGGGUCACCACAUAGCAGGCAUUCAAUAAAAA
This 634-nucleotide long non-coding RNA is filed under the name Homo sapiens (human). Its description in RNAcentral is "LHRI_LNC529.2". The record is from RNAcentral. Lineage: Eukaryota; Metazoa; Chordata; Mammalia; Primates; Hominidae.